AAAGUCGUAACAAGGUUUCCGUAGGUGAACCUGCGGAAGGAUCAUUAAAAAGUGGGGAUUGAUAUCCCCGUGGAAAGCAUGGGAUUGGCGGAGACUAACUUUUGCACCUUCUUCAGUUGGACUCCGCCUUUCGUAUCCUGUAACACCACAACGUGCACCGUAUACUUUUGCAUUUGCGUAAUUUUCUAUCUGUCUGUCUGAUGUUUACAUUCUCUGACUUUGGCCUUGUUGCCGAAUGACCGAAAAUAAAACAACUUUUAACAAUGGAUCUCUUGGCUCUC
This 281-nucleotide unclassified non-coding RNA is filed under the name Basidiomycota sp. RNAcentral's name for it is "partial contains small subunit ribosomal RNA, internal transcribed spacer 1, and 5.8S ribosomal RNA". The stretch from base 1 to 47 matches the Rfam family "Eukaryotic small subunit ribosomal RNA", at positions 1785 to 1831 of the family's 1831-position model. The record is from RNAcentral. Lineage: Eukaryota; Fungi; Basidiomycota.